CUUGUGCAAACUGCGGAAGCCUCUGGGCUUUUAGUGGAAGCGGGUUACGCUAGGAGAUGCCUCGGAGGAGGAAGGGGAUAUAGAUAGCCCCCCCCGACCCCCGGAACUUCCCCGCCACCACAUAGGGGCGCUUGGGCCCCAAAGAUUUGCUGCUCCCCACAUUAAAACGUUCCCUCUGCUUUUUCAAAUCAGAUGACCAUUUAUCCGCUCCCCUUAGAACAUCACGACUGGAUGAAAUGUCAAAAAAGCCCAUCUUUAAAUAACUGAGGGUAAAUGAGGUAACAAGACAAAACACAAGCUUUCAUACUCAUCAAAUGCUACAAGUUGGUGAGUGGCCCAACCCCCCUGGGAACUUGUUCUUACUGUACUCAGGCUGUCUUCUCUCAUUUCUUUCCUGGCCUCCUUCCCUUUGAGAGCUUGGGGUUCCAAGUCACUGGAACAGUAUUUCUCAACUUCUGUUUCUCAAUUUUAUGUUCGUUUUGAAAAAUAACUAAAUAUAUUUUGUUCUGCAUAGUCUCUCCAGUCAAGGAUAUUUUGUAAUAUAAAAUUAACCAUCUGUCCCCAGCCCCAAAACAGGGUGAGAUCGAGGCAAGUUUUCUUUCUUUACAAUUCAACAAGAAAUGGGCUUUGGGACUAGGUCAUUUUUUUCCUUUGCAGUUGUGGCAGGGCUGUCAGCGGAUAGCUCUGGCCUCCAAGGCCCCCCGAUGUCAGUGAGUGAGCCCGUUUGCUCAGAUGAGAACUUCCUACCCAGUAAAUCCAUGCAUGCUCUGGGGAUCUGGAGAGGCAAAUGGAAGAUCUCCAACACAGGCAUAUUGAAUAAUAGCAGGUGUUCCCUAAGAAUCUAACAAACCCCUUAUCAGUGACUGUGAUCACUUUCCAAUUCACCUGUUCACUGAAAGCAACAAAUAAUAAAGCCAACCUCAUUUUGUGUGUAGUAUGCAUAUAAUUAAAAAGAUGGAAAAGAAGAAUGAAACAGCCAAAAUGUCCAGUUAUCUUUAAAGACGAAUUUCUAUGUUGUAUCAGUGAGGGCUCAAUCACAGAGAAUAGAAUCCAUCCAAGCUAUUUAAUUAAAAAAGGAUUUAUUGCCGGCUUUUAUGUGACUUACGUAAACACUGGGAAGGUUUAAAAAACACACACUAGGGGGAGCUUCCAAGAACAAAUUCCGAAGCCAUAAUGUAGAACUUGGCCACCAUUGAAACUAGUUCUUUUGCCACAACCCAGAAGCCAUCUGCUAAAUUGGGCAGCUGCUAGCGCAGGUUCUGGCUUCGGAACCAUGUCAUGAUGUUACAGUCUGUCCAGCAAAAUGAGUAUCUCAAGCCGGGCCUCCCUCCCCACUUAAAACUCAGUUUCAAAUUCAGCUGUCCUACCAGUGCUUCUGUUUGGUAGAGCCUGGUGCAUACCCAGAACCUAGGUGCAAGGAGAUCUGGGAAAAGAAGUAUUUGCUUUCCAGACUCUGCAGUGGAGUGAGGAAUUCUGAAACGAUGUUGGAAGACGUACUGAGAUACCCCAGCAUGGCUGUCUGCCUUCCCCAAGCCAGCAACAGAGGGAGCAACUCAAUCAAGUAAAGCUGCAUACUCAGGCAGGAAAUCCCACCCUUUCCAACUUCCUCCAAGAAGAUGGGACUCAAGUUCCUAUUGUGAAGCAUCUUGCCCUGGACAAGAACUCCUAUACAAAAAUUGAAGCCUGCUUGUGGAAGACUCCUUUUCCUGGACUCCCCAGGCCAGGCAGGUGAAUGUAGGUACUCGGUGAAUUUCUCACUCCAACAGACCUACUUCCCGGGGACAUCUCCCUUAAAAAGGGUCCUUCUUGGCACUGGCUGCAUCCCACCCAGAACAUCAGGCCCGACCCGGCAUCCUCGGAGUGUAGUAAAUCUCUGAUGAAACUUAACCUGCACCAGGUGAGACUACAAAUAACAGGUCUGUCUUCCAAUUUGAAUCUCCAGUGAUGUUUAACCUUUUCUCAGGGCUAUUCUCUCACUAGCCACCCCACCCUAACCCACCCACCCAAAUUAGGAGGUAGCCCACAUCAAGGAGGGAGGACAGUGGCCCCUCUGUGAGUUGCUAGGGCCUUUCCCUGUUUCUUUUUCCCCCGCUGGUUAGAUGAGACCCACCUCCUCCCAUUGUCUGUUGUCCUUUCCUCUACCCAAACAUAAAGAGCCUCAUUUCCCACCCUCCUCUCUGCACUUUAGCCACACUAGCCUUUUCAUUUUUCUAGUGUGCUCUUCUUCUUCUUCAGCCCCAUGACCUUCCUACAUGUUCUUCUAGCUGCCUUGAGUUCCCCUAGCUCCUGCUGCUUCUAGCUUACUCCAAUUCUUCCAACUCUCAGAGGCCCCUGCUUUAUCUCUCUGAGGGCAAGAGGAGAUGUAGGGACCAACCGAGUCUAGCCCUCUGAGAAACCAGAGCAGUUCCACUGUCUGAGCCCCCUCAAAUUUCCCGACAUCACCCCCAAGCCAGUCGUGCCUUAGUUCUGUCAUUGCUGGCAGUGAGUUCCCACCUUUUAAAGAAAAAAAAAUAUAUUUCACUUUCAUUUAGUUCCAAAUACUUUUUAAUUUCUUUUGACACAUCCUCUUUGCCGUAUGUGUUGUUUGGUCUUCAGAUACCUUGGGAUUUCUGGCUAUCCUUCUAUGAUUCAUUUCUAGGUUGAUUCCAUUGUAGUCUGAAAGCAUACUUUGUGUGAUAUUUAUUCUUUUAAAUUUGGUAAAGUAUGUUUAUGGCCCAGACUGUGGUCUGUCUUGGCAAAUGUUCCACGUGAGCUGCAGAAUAUGUAAUCCUGCUACCAUUAGAUGAAGUAUUCUAUAAAUGCCAAUUAGAGCCAGUUGAUUAAUGGUUAUAUCUCUUUUUCACCAUUGAAUCUCUGCGAUGUUAACAGAGAGUAUGACCCAUAGUACGUGCUCCAAAAAGUUAUUGAAUAAGAGGAGAAGGAGCAAGCAGGAGGAAGGGAAAAAUGGAUACAGAGAUUUCACAUGUUAUUCCCCUGAUUAAAAGCUUUCAGUUAGGGGCGCCUGGGUGGCUCAGCCGUUAAGCGUCUGCCUUCGGCUCAGGUCAUGAUCCCGGGGUCCUGGGAUCGAGCCCCGCAUCUGGUUCCCUGCUCAGUGCAGAGCCUGCUUCUCCCUCUCCCCCCACCCCUGCUUGUGUUCCCACUCUCGCUGUCUCUCUAUCAAAUAAAUAAAUAAAAUCUUCCAAAAAAAAAAAGCUUUCAAUAGUUCACUAUAAUCUAUACAUUUUAACUGCUGUUCUUCCUAUUCGGUAGUAAUAUGUCACAAUUUUUUACUAUAUUUCUUCUGUAACAAAUGCAAUCAUUUUAUGUACCACUGUAGAAGGGGGAAAAAACCUCCUGCCAAGAAAAUUGUGAGAUGCCAUCAAUUUUGAAGUUGUUAAGCUAUGAAAAAACGUGAGUCAUAGAGUUGAUAAAAUAUUGGAGUUAGCUACAAGCUUGUCUUACGUGGCGGAUGGGUCCAUAGCUUAUUUAUCUCUGUGUCCCCAGCACCAAACACAGUACAUGACACAGAGUAGACGCUGAAUAACAUUAGUUUAGUCAUCUGAGGUGUCCCUCAUUCCCUACCACCAGACACCUGGCUUUCCUU
Molecule: long non-coding RNA, 3583 nt
Organism: Mirounga angustirostris (Northern elephant seal)
Lineage: Eukaryota; Metazoa; Chordata; Mammalia; Carnivora; Phocidae
Exons: 3
Source: RefSeq, a predicted model, not a curated record